Molecule: ribosomal RNA, 2805 nt
Filed under: Staphylococcus aureus
Lineage: Bacteria; Bacillati; Bacillota; Bacilli; Caryophanales; Staphylococcaceae
Description: 23S ribosomal RNA
Rfam family: Bacterial large subunit ribosomal RNA
Source: RNAcentral
GAUUAAGUUAUUAAGGGCGCACGGUGGAUGCCUUGGCACUAGAAGCCGAAGAAGGACGUUACUAACGACGAUAUGCUUUGGGGAGCUGUAAGUACGCUUUGAUCCAGAGAUUUCCGAAUGGGGAAACCCAGCAUGAGUUAUGUCAUGUUAUCCGCAUAUGAAUACAUAGUAUGUGAGAAGGCACACCCGGAGAACUGAAACAUCUUAGUACCCGGAGGAAGAGAAAGAAAACUCGAUUCCCUGAGUAGCGGCGAGCGAAACGGGAAGAGCCCAAACCAAUAGGCUUGCCUAUUGGGGUUGUAGGACACUCAAUACGGAGUUACAAAGGACGACAUUAGACGAAUCAUCUGGAAAGAUGAAUCAAAGAAGGUAAUAAUCCUGUAGUCGAAAAUCUUUUCUCUCCUGAGUGGAUCCUGAGUACGGCGGAACACGUGAAAUUCCGUCGGAAUCUGGGAGGACCAUCUCCCAAGGCUAAAUACUCUCUAGUGACCGAUAGUGAACCAGUACCGUGAGGGAAAGGUGAAAAGCACCCCGGAAGGGGAGUGAAAUAGAACCUGAAACCGUGUGCUUACAAAUAGUCAGAGCCCGUUAAUGGGUGAUGGCGUGCCUUUUGUAGAAUGAACCGGCGAGUUACGAUUUGAUGCAAGGUUAAGCAGUAAAUGUGGAGCCGUAGCGAAAGCGAGUCUGAAUAGGGCGUUUAGUACGUGGUCGUAGACCCGAAACCAGGUGAUCUACCCAUGUCCAGGGUGAAGUUCAGGUAACACUGAAUGGAGGCCCGAACCCACGCACGUUGAAAAGUGCGGGGAUGAGGUGUGGGUAGCGGAGAAAUUCCAAUCGAACCUGGAGAUAGCUGGUUCUCCCCGAAAUAGCUUUAGGGCUAGCCUUAAGUGAAGAGUCUUGGAGGUAGAGCACUGAUUGGACGAGGGGCCCCUCUCGGGUUACCGAAUUCAGACAAACUCCGAAUGCCAAAUAAUUUAACUUGGGAGUCAGACUGCGAGUGAUAAGAUCCGUAGUCAAAAGGGAAACAGCCCAGACCGCCAGCUAAGGUCCCAAAGUGUGUAUUAAGUGGAAAAGGAUGUGGAGUUGCUUAGACAACUAGGAUGUUGGCUUAGAAGCAGCCAUCAUUUAAAGAGUGCGUAAUAGCUCACUAGUCGAGUGACACUGCGCCGAAAAUGUACCGGGGCUAAACAUAUUACCGAAGCUGUGGAUUAUCCUAAGGAUAAUGGUAGGAGAGCGUUCUAAACGUGUUGAAGCAUGAUCGUAAGGACAUGUGGAAUGUUUAGAAGUGAGAAUGCCGGUGUGAGUAGCGAAAGAUGGGUGAGAAUCCCAUCCACCGAUUGACUAAGGUUUCCAGAGGAAGGCUCGUCCGCUCUGGGUUAGUCGGGACCUAAGCCGAGGCCGAUAGGCGUAGGCGAUGGAUAACCCGGCACUCGUAAGGUUGAGUUGUGAUGGGGAGUUGUCAGGUAUCCGACGAGUCGUUGAUUUCACACUGCCAAGAAAAGCCUCUAGUUAGAAAAUAGGUGCCCGUACCGCAAACCGACACAGGUAGUCAAGAUGAGAAUUCUAAGGUGAGCGAGCGAACUCUCGUUAAGGAACUCGGCAAAAUGACCCCGUAACUUCGGGAGAAGGGGUGCUUUUUAGGGUGCAAGCCUUGAAGAGCCGCAGUGAAUAGGCCCAAGCGACUGUUUAUCAAAAACACAGGUCUCUGCUAAACCGUAAGGUGAUGUAUAGGGGCUGACGCCUGCCCGGUGCUGGAAGGUUAAGAGGAGUGGUUAGCUUCUGCGAAGCUACGAAUCGAAGCCCCAGUAAACGGCGGCCGUAACUAUAACGGUCCUAAGGUAGCGAAAUUCCUUGUCGGGUAAGUUCCGACCCGCACGAAAGGCGUAACGAUUUGGGCACUGUCUCAACGAGAGACUCGGUGAAAUCAUAGUACCUGUGAAGAUGCAGGUUACCCGCGACAGGACGGAAAGACCCCGUGGAGCUUUACUGUAGCCUGAUAUUGAAAUUUGGCACAGCUUGUACAGGAUAGGUAGGAGCCUUUGAAACGUGAGCGCUAGCUUACGUGGAGGCGCUGGUGGGAUACUACCCUGGCUGUGUUGACUUUCUAACCCGCACCAUUUAUCAUGGUGGGAGACAGUGUCAGGCGGGCAGUUUGACUGGGGCGGUCGCCUCCUAAAGAGUAACGGAGGCGCUCAAAGGUUCCCUCAGAAUGGUUGGAAAUCAUUCGCAGAGUGUAAAGGCACAAGGGAGCUUGACUGCGAGACCUACAAGUCGAGCAGGGUCGAAAGACGGACUUAGUGAUCCGGUGGUUCCGCAUGGAAGGGCCAUCGCUCAACGGAUAAAAGCUACCCCGGGGAUAACAGGCUUAUCUCCCCCAAGAGUCCACAUCGACGGGGAGGUUUGGCACCUCGAUGUCGGCUCAUCGCAUCCUGGGGCUGUAGUCGGUCCCAAGGGUUGGGCUGUUCGCCCAUUAAAGCGGUACGCGAGCUGGGUUCAGAACGUCGUGAGACAGUUCGGUCCCUAUCCGUCGUGGGCGUAGGAAAUUUGAGAGGAGCUGUCCUUAGUACGAGAGGACCGGGAUGGACGCACCGCUGGUGUACCAGUUGUUCUGCCAAGGGCAUAGCUGGGUAGCUAUGUGCGGAAGGGAUAAGUGCUGAAAGCAUCUAAGCAUGAAGCCCCCCUCAAGAUGAGAUUUCCCAGCGUAAGCUAUAAGAUCCCUGAAAGAUGAUCAGGUUGAUAGGUUCGAGGUGGAAGCAUGGUGACAUGUGGAGCUGACGAAUACUAAUAGAUCGAGGACUUAACCAU